GUGUCUAUUGAAAAGGAGAGACGGUUAGCACUCCCCUUGACAAGGAUGGAACACAUGAACGGUUGUAUGAGGCUAAACAAAUACAACCCACAUUUUUU
Manduca sexta (tobacco hornworm) is the source of this 98-nucleotide small nuclear RNA. The record is from RefSeq and is a predicted model, not a curated record. Lineage: Eukaryota; Metazoa; Arthropoda; Insecta; Lepidoptera; Sphingidae.